CCUACGGGAGGCUGCAGUGGGGGAUAUUGCACAAUGGGGGAAACCCUGAUGCAGCGAAGCCGCGUGUGGGAAGACGGUCCUCUGGAUUGUAAACCACUGUCCCCAGGGACGAAGAUGACGGUACCUGGGGAGGAAGCUCCGGCUAACUACGUACCAGCAGCCGCGGUAAUACGUAGGGAGCGAGCGUUGUCCGGAAUUACUGGGUGUAAAGGGAGCGGUGGCGGGGAUGGAAGUUGGGUGUCAAAACUACCGGCUCAACUGGGAGUCGCACUCAAAACUGCAGCUCAUGAGUGAAGGAGAGGCAGGCGGAAUUCCUGGUGUAGCGGUGAAAUGCGUAGAUAUUAGGAGGAACACCAGUGGCGAAGGCGGCCUGCUGGGCUUUUACUGACGCUGAGGCUCGAAAGUGUGGGGAGCAAACAGGAUUAGAUACCCCAGUAGUC
This 440-nucleotide ribosomal RNA is filed under the name uncultured bacterium. RNAcentral describes it as "partial 16S ribosomal RNA". It matches the Rfam family "Bacterial small subunit ribosomal RNA", at positions 338 to 795 of the family's 1533-position model. The record is from RNAcentral.